RNAcentral lists this transfer RNA (81 nucleotides) under Ramicandelaber brevisporus. Its description in RNAcentral is "tRNA-Leu". It matches the Rfam family "tRNA". Rfam says of the family: Transfer RNA (tRNA) molecules are approximately 80 nucleotides in length. Their secondary structure includes four short double-helical elements and three loops (D, anti-codon, and T loops). The record is from RNAcentral. Lineage: Eukaryota; Fungi; Kickxellomycota; Ramicandelaberales; Ramicandelaberaceae.
GUCACUUUGGCCGAGUGGUUAAGGCGGUGGUUUUAAGCACCACUCCCAGUGGGAUCGUGGGUUCGAACCCCACAGGUGGCA